UACAGAGGUCUCGAGCGUUGUUCGGAUUCAUUGGGCGUAAAGGGUGCGUAGGCGGCGUGGUAAGUCGGGUGUGAAAUCUCGGAGCUUAACUCCGAAACUGCAUUCGAUACUGCCGUGCUUGAGGACUGGAGAGGAGACUGGAAUUUACGGUGUAGCGGUGAAAUGCGUAGAUAUCGUAAGGAAGACCAGUGGCGAAGGCGGGUCUCUGGACAGUUCCUGACGCUGAGGCACGAAGGCCAGGGGAGCAAACGGG
Molecule: ribosomal RNA, 253 nt
Filed under: uncultured bacterium
Lineage: Bacteria
Description: partial 16S ribosomal RNA
Rfam family: Bacterial small subunit ribosomal RNA
Source: RNAcentral